AAGAAACCAACAGGGAUUGCCCCAGUAGCGGCGAGUGAAGCGGCAAGAGCUCAGAUUUGAAAUCGUGUUUCGGCACGAGUUGUAGGGUGUAGGCGGGAGUCUCUGUGGAGCGCGGUGUCCAAGUCCCUUGGAACAGGGUGCCUGAGAGGGUGAGAGCCCCGUAGGGUGCUGCGCGAAGCUUUUGAGGCCCUGCUGACGAGUCGAGUUGUUUGGGAAUGCAGCUCCAAGCGGGUGGUAAAUUCCAUCUAAGGCUAAAUAUUGGCGAGAGACCGAUAGCGAACAAGUACUGUGAAGGAAAGAUGAAAAGCACUUUGAAAAGAGAGUGAAACAGCACGUGAAAUUGUUGAAAGGGAAGGGUAUUGGGCUCGACAUGGGGGGUGCGCACCGCUGUCUCUUGUAGGCGGCGCUCUGGGCGCCCUCUGGGCCAGCAUCGGUUCCUGCUGCGGGAGAAGGGGCUCCGGAAAGUGGCUCUUCGGAGUGUUAUAGCCGGGGCCAGAUGCCGCGUGUGGGGACCGAGGACUGCGGCUUCUGUCUCGGAUGCUGGCAUAACGGCGCAAUACCGCCCGUCUUGAAACACGGACC
RNAcentral lists this ribosomal RNA (582 nucleotides) under Pichia manshurica. Its description in RNAcentral is "eukaryotic LSU rRNA". It matches the Rfam family "Eukaryotic large subunit ribosomal RNA", at positions 59 to 667 of the family's 3401-position model. The record is from RNAcentral. Lineage: Eukaryota; Fungi; Ascomycota; Pichiomycetes; Pichiales; Pichiaceae.